RNAcentral lists this ribosomal RNA (292 nucleotides) under uncultured bacterium. RNAcentral describes it as "partial 16S ribosomal RNA". It matches the Rfam family "Bacterial small subunit ribosomal RNA", at positions 505 to 796 of the family's 1533-position model. The record is from RNAcentral.
GUGCCAGCCGCCGCGGUAAUACGGAGGGUGCAAGCGUUAAUCGGAAUUACUGGGCGUAAAGCGCGCGUAGGUGGUUUGGUAAGUCGGAUGUGAAAGCCCCGGGCUUAACCUGGGAAUUGCAUUCGAUACUGCUUGACUAGAGUGUGGUAGAGGGAAGUGGAAUUCCGCAUGUAGCGGUGAAAUGCGUAGAGAUGCGGAGGAACACCAAUGGCGAAGGCAACUUCCUGGACCAACACUGACACUGAGGUGCGAAAGCGUGGGUAGCAAACAGGAUUAGAUACCCCGGUAGUCC